AUCCCUGGCAAGGUCUCAGUAAUGUUAGGCCCUCUGGUCUCUUCAGCAUCCACACCUUGCUUCUCUUUCCCUUGGAAAACAAAGGAGCUCUGGGAGCAAGAAGAACUUGGUGCUUUUGGUUAUGGUGUUACUAUCAAGAGAAAACAAACUAAGACACAGGCCAAGGAAGUGGCAUGCCCUCAUUUCUUAAUGGCGUUGAGACCGUAUGCAUCCCCUGAAGAUCAGUAAGGUAAAUGCUUUGCCCCCAAUGGUGCUGUGAGAGAUUAUUUAUGGGAUGAAGCCAAGAGAAGCCUUCAGAGUCUGGGAUUGUGGGGACUGUUGGACCCUCACUCUUUUGUACUCC
This 343-nucleotide long non-coding RNA is filed under the name Mus spretus (western wild mouse). Its description in RNAcentral is "predicted gene 45054 (ENSMSPG00010003801.1)". Lineage: Eukaryota; Metazoa; Chordata; Mammalia; Rodentia; Muridae. The record is from RNAcentral.